GACAGAAAAUGCAAACGUUGUUCGGAAUUACUAAGCGUAAAACGCGUGUAAGCAGCCCUGCAAGUCGGAUGUGAAAUCCCACGGCUCAACCAUGGAAGUGCAUUCAAAACUGCAGAGCUAGAGUCCUGGAAAGAAAGGUGGAAUGCUUGAUGUAGAAGUGAAAUUCGUAGAUAUCAAACGAAACACCGGUGGCGAAGGCAGCCUUCUGGACAGUGACUGACGCUGAGACGCAAAAGCGUAAGAAGCAAACAGG
Molecule: ribosomal RNA, 253 nt
Filed under: uncultured bacterium
Lineage: Bacteria
Description: partial 16S ribosomal RNA
Rfam family: Bacterial small subunit ribosomal RNA
Source: RNAcentral